RNAcentral lists this ribosomal RNA (602 nucleotides) under Salmonella enterica. RNAcentral's name for it is "bacterial SSU rRNA". It matches the Rfam family "Bacterial small subunit ribosomal RNA", at positions 110 to 708 of the family's 1533-position model. The record is from RNAcentral. RNAcentral also lists the same sequence under 1 other name. Lineage: Bacteria; Pseudomonadati; Pseudomonadota; Gammaproteobacteria; Enterobacterales; Enterobacteriaceae.
GUAAUGUCUGGGAAACUGCCUGAUGGAGGGGGAUAACUACUGGAAACGGUGGCUAAUACCGCAUAACGUCGCAAGACCAAAGAGGGGGACCUUCGGGCCUCUUGCCAUCAGAUGUGCCCAGAUGGGAUUAGCUAGUUGGUGAGGUAACGGCUCACCAAGGCGACGAUCCCUAGCUGGUCUGAGAGGAUGACCAGCCACACUGGAACUGAGACACGGUCCAGACUCCUACGGGAGGCAGCAGUGGGGAAUAUUGCACAAUGGGCGCAAGCCUGAUGCAGCCAUGCCGCGUGUAUGAAGAAGGCCUUCGGGUUGUAAAGUACUUUCAGCGGGGAGGAAGGUGUUGUGGUUAAUAACCGCAGCAAUUGACGUUACCCGCAGAAGAAGCACCGGCUAACUCCGUGCCAGCAGCCGCGGUAAUACGGAGGGUGCAAGCGUUAAUCGGAAUUACUGGGCGUAAAGCGCACGCAGGCGGUCUGUCAAGUCGGAUGUGAAAUCCCCGGGCUCAACCUGGGAACUGCAUUCGAAACUGGCAGGCUUGAGUCUUGUAGAGGGGGGUAGAAUUCCAGGUGUAGCGGUGAAAUGCGUAGAGAUCUGGAGGAAUA